RNAcentral lists this transfer RNA (67 nucleotides) under Bipalium kewense. Its description in RNAcentral is "tRNA-Ile". The record is from RNAcentral. Lineage: Eukaryota; Metazoa; Platyhelminthes; Tricladida; Geoplanidae.
AGUGUAAGGACUGCUUAUGUAGGUUACUGCGAUAUAGUAAAUUAAAGAAUUUUUUUUCUCUACAUUA